RNAcentral lists this transfer RNA (69 nucleotides) under Dalmatolacerta oxycephala (sharp-snouted rock lizard). RNAcentral describes it as "tRNA-His". It matches the Rfam family "tRNA". From Rfam's summary of the family: Transfer RNA (tRNA) molecules are approximately 80 nucleotides in length. Their secondary structure includes four short double-helical elements and three loops (D, anti-codon, and T loops). The record is from RNAcentral. Lineage: Eukaryota; Metazoa; Chordata; Lepidosauria; Squamata; Lacertidae.
GUAGAUAUAGUUUAUAAAAACAUUAGACUGUGACUCUGAAGAUAGAAGUUAUUUACCUUCUUAUUUACC